AGUGGGGAAUAUUGGACAAUGGGCGAAAGCCUGAUCCAGCCAUGCCGCGUGGAUGAAGAAGGCCCUAGGGUUGUAAAGUCCUUUCGAUGGUGAAGAUAAUGACGGUAACCAUACAAGAAGCCCCGGCUAAUUUCGUGCCAGCAGCCGCGGUAAUACGAAAGGGGCUAGCGUUGUUCGGAAUUACUGGGCGUAAAGCGCACGUAGGCGGCAUUGUAAGUUGGGGGUGAAAUCCCAGGGCUCAACCCUGGAACUGCCUCCAAAACUACAAAGCUAGAGGAUGUGAGAGGAUAGUGGAAUUCCGAGUGUAGAGGUGAAAUUCGUAGAUAUUCGGAAGAACACCAGUGGCGAAGGCGACUGUCUGGCACAUUUCUGACGCUGAGGUGCGAAAGCGUGGGGAGCGAACAGGAUUAGAUACCCUGGUAGUCCACGCCGUAAACGAUGAGGGCUAGUUGUCAGGCGGCAUGCCGUUUGGUGACGCAGCUAACGCAUUAAGCCCUCCGCCUGGGGAG
Molecule: ribosomal RNA, 509 nt
Filed under: uncultured bacterium
Lineage: Bacteria
Description: bacterial SSU rRNA
Rfam family: Bacterial small subunit ribosomal RNA
Source: RNAcentral